UAAUACGAAGGGGGCAAGCGUUGUUCGGAUUUACUGGGCGUAAAGCGUACGUAGGCGGAUGAUUAAGUCAGGGGUGAAAUCCCGGGGCUCAACCUCGGAACUGCCUUUGAUACUGGUCGUCUUGAGUCCGGGAGAGGUGAGUGGAACUCCUAGUGUAGAGGUGAAAUUCGUAGAUAUUAGGAAGAACACCAGUGGCGAAGGCGGCUCACUGGCCCGGAACUGACGCUGAGGUACGAAAGCGUGGGGAGCAAACAGGAUUAGAUACCCUGGUAGUCCACGCCGUAAACGAUGGAUGCUAGCCGUCGGGGAGCUUGCUCUUCGGUGGCGCAGCUAACGCAUUAAGCAUCCCGCCUGGGGAGUACGGUCGCAAGAUUAAAACUUAAAUGAAUUGACGG
This 395-nucleotide ribosomal RNA is filed under the name uncultured bacterium. RNAcentral describes it as "bacterial SSU rRNA". It matches the Rfam family "Bacterial small subunit ribosomal RNA", at positions 521 to 916 of the family's 1533-position model. The record is from RNAcentral.